UACGUAGGGGGCAAGCGUUGUCCGGAAUUAUUGGGCGUAAAGCGCGUGUAGGCGGCUUUGCAAGUCGGGUGUGAAAGCCCUCAGCUCAACUGAGGAAGUGCGCCCGAAACUGCAGGGCUAGAGUCCUGGAGAGGAAGGUGGAAUGCUUGGUGUAGAGGUGAAAUUCGUAGAUAUCAAGCGGAACACCGGUGGCGAAGGCGGCCUUCUGGACAGUGACUGACGCUGAGACGCGAAAGCGUGGGGAGCAAACAGG
RNAcentral lists this ribosomal RNA (253 nucleotides) under uncultured bacterium. RNAcentral's name for it is "partial 16S ribosomal RNA". It matches the Rfam family "Bacterial small subunit ribosomal RNA", at positions 524 to 776 of the family's 1533-position model. The record is from RNAcentral.